RNAcentral lists this ribosomal RNA (433 nucleotides) under uncultured bacterium. RNAcentral's name for it is "partial 16S ribosomal RNA". It matches the Rfam family "Bacterial small subunit ribosomal RNA", at positions 29 to 507 of the family's 1533-position model. The record is from RNAcentral.
AACGAACGCUGGCGGCAUGCCUAACACAUGCAAGUCGAACGAGACCUUCGGGUCUAGUGGCGCACGGGUGCGUAACGCGUGGGAACCUGCCCUUAGGUUCGGAAUAACUCCCCGAAAGGGGUGCUAAUACCGGAUAAUGUCUUCGGACCAAAGAUUUAUCGCCUUUGGAUGGGCCCGCGUUGGAUUAGCUAGUUGGUAGGGUAAAAGCCUACCAAGGCGACGAUCCAUAGCUGGUCUGAGAGGAUGAUCAGCCACACUGGGACUGAGACACGGCCCAGACUCCUACGGGAGGAGGCGGGGGGGAAUAUUGGAAAGGGGGCAAAGGCCUGACCCAGCAAUGCCGGGUGAGGAAAGAAGCCCUUGGGGUUGAAAAGCUUUUUUCCCGGGGAUGAUAAGGACGGUACCGGGGAAAAAGGCCCCGGCAAACCCCGUC